Non-coding RNA from Phascolarctos cinereus (koala), 1998 nucleotides. The record is from RefSeq and is a predicted model, not a curated record. NCBI's taxonomy places the organism in Eukaryota, Metazoa, Chordata, Mammalia, Diprotodontia, Phascolarctidae.
CGAGAGGAGAUAGACCAUGAAUCAAAAUUCGCUUAAGGGGAGGUAUGGAGCGGAACGGGCUCAGCGCAUGGGCACGGGCUCAGUUGGGGUUAGGUCACCGCCUUUGUGAAUUUGCGUGCCCCGUGGGUGCGGCGGAAUCGAGCGUCCCGCGGCGCCUGCGCCUCCACGUUUCAUAGAGGAGCAAACUGAGGCAGCUCAGGCUCCUGUGGCUGAGGACUGGAGGAUUCGAACCCAGGGCUUCCUGAUGGUUGGAAUGGGGCCAGUGAUGAUGAAGAUAGUUGAAAUAUAAUGAUAAAAAUAUAAACAACAUUAAGAACCCCUGGUGAAAAUGUUAUCUGCUUCCAGAGAAAGAACUGAUGGAGUCUGAAUGGAAACUCGCUGUUUCUCACUUUGUUUUUUUAAUGUUUUUUUCCCCUUCGAGUCUGUGUCUUUCACACCUGACUAUGGGAACCUGGUCUGCUCAUUGCACGCGUCUAACCCACAUCACAUCGCUCCCUGGAGGGAGGCUGGCAGCGAAUGGGGACCCAAAUGCUUUUUAAAACGAAUGUUAAAGUGGUCUGCACUUGUGACUGGGGGAAAUCAAAGUAAUUAGUGAAUUGGCUUAAUUAGGUGAAGCAUCCCCCCCUUGGGAGAAGUAUCCCAAAGGGCAGCCGCUGGACUGGCCUGGUUCACCACUUGUGUCCGGCCAAGUCUGCGGUCAGGCCCCAGGGACCUGCAUAUUGGCGUCCUGGGCCCUCUGUCCGCAAUCUGAAUGACCAUGGCAGACUUGGUCCAGGCCUCACUGCAGAAAAGAGGGCCCGAGCAGCCUAGGACAGCCAGCCUGGCUUAUAGAGGUGCCUGAAAGAGGAAGGCCCCCUGAGAGCCAGCGUAGUGAUCUCAAGAACAGACAGACUUCUCAUCAUUCCCUGGGCUGCUAAUCAUGUCAGCAGGAGGGCUGACAGAACGGUGGAGGGCCGGCUGGAGAGGGCUAGCUGAAGGACUCGGUGGGGUCAGCUGGGAGCAGCGAAGAGUUGUGAAGGCUUUGUAGUUCAGACCAGAUCAGUAAAUGUGGAUUCCUGGCCUCCUUGGGCACAGAUAUGGAGAUGGAAGAGUGGAUGGCCUCACAGAGCCGACUUUUGGUUGGGGAUGCACCUGUAAGAUAGUAUGAGGAGGGAAGGAACAGGAGCCCCCGAGGAUGAGAAGGUCGAGCUUCCCGUAGCUGGGAGCACUUGACGCAGCCUUACAGGACACUCAAGGAGAUGAUUGAUGUUCAUCUCUGUCUUGGGGUAUAGGUUGUGGCAGGAUAUGGGGGGGGGCCUGGCUGGAAUGUCAGACUUGGGGAAGGACUAGCAGGUCAGUUUGAGUGGAAAGCAGUUAACCCCAGGGGAAUACUUUGAAAAUUUGGAGCUACAUUGUGAAGGGCUGUAAAUGUAAGGCUGAAGAGUGUAUACUUUACCCAAGAGGCAGUUUGCAGCUAUUGAAGGUUUUUUUAGGUCAGUGACGUACUCAUACCUGUGUCUUAGAAAUAUUAAUUAGACAACUGUGUGAAGGUUGGGUUGGAGGUGGAGUAAACCAGAAGCAGGGAGAUUUGUAAUAGUCCCAGCCAGAAGGUGAGGCUCCAGUUGUGUGAGUGGAGAGGAGGGGGUGCCGGUGAUGUUCUGAUGGUAGAAUGGGCAGGGCUGGCAAUGGAUGGAAUAUGGCGGGAGGGUUCAAGAGGCCGACAAGGUUGUGACUCCGGGUCUGAAAGGACCCCAGCUGACCAGGAGCCCUCUAUAGACAAGUUCAUGUUCCCAAGAUGCUUUUGAGGGAAAGAAUCUUCCCUAAGUCUGACCCAGCUGGCUGCCUCUCUGGGUCAGUAGCGCCCUCUGCAGGAAUCGGGAAGAGAUUUUAACAUUUAUUUCCAUAAGAUUUUUGAGUUCCAAAUUUUCUCUUCUCCCUCCCUUCCCCCCUCCCCGAGAUGGCGUGCAAUUCGAUGUAAACUAUACAUAUAUAGUCAUAUUAAACAUUUUCACAUCAGUC